This 440-nucleotide ribosomal RNA is filed under the name uncultured bacterium. RNAcentral's name for it is "partial 16S ribosomal RNA". It matches the Rfam family "Bacterial small subunit ribosomal RNA", at positions 338 to 795 of the family's 1533-position model. The record is from RNAcentral.
CCUACGGGAGGCAGCAGUGGGGAAUAUUGCACAAUGGGGGGAACCCUGAUGCAGCGACGCCGCGUGAGUGAUGAAGGAUUUCGGAACGUAAAGCUCUAUCAGCAGGGAAGAAAAUGACGGUACCUAACCAACAAGCCCCGGCUAACUCCGUGCCAGAAACCGCGGGCAUACGGAGGGGGCAAGCGUUAGCCGGUUUUACUGGGUGUAAAGGUAGCGGAGACGGUUAUGCAAGUCUCAGGUGAAAGCCCAAGGCUCAACCAGGGGACUGCUUUGGAAACUGGAAAACUGGAGUGCAGGAGAGGUAAGCGGAAUUCCUGGUGUAGCGGUGAAAUCCGUAGAUAUUAGGAGGAACAUCAGUGGCGAAGGCGGCUUACUGGACCGUAACUGACGUUGAGGCGCGAAGGCGUGGGGAGCAAACAGGAUUAGAUACCCGGGUAGUC